AGGUUGUGCCCUUGAGGCGUGGCUUCCGGAGCUAACGCGUUAAGUAGACCGCCUGGGGAGUACGGCCGCAAGGUUAAAACUCAAAUGAAUUGACGGGGGCCCGCACAAGCGGUGGAGCAUGUGGUUUAAUUCGAUGCAACGCGAAGAACCUUACCUGGUCUUGACAUCCACGGAAGUUUUCAGAGAUGAGAAUGUGCCUUCGGGAACCGUGAGACAGGUGCUGCAUGGCUGUCGUCAGCUCGUGUUGUGAAAUGUUGGGUUAAGUCCCGCAACGAGCGCAACCCUUAUCCUUUGUUGCCAGCGGUCCGGCCGGGAACUCAAAGGAGACUGCCAGUGAUAAACUGGAGGAAGGUGGGGAUGACGUCAAGUCAUCAUGGCCCUUAC
This 384-nucleotide ribosomal RNA is filed under the name Salmonella enterica subsp. enterica serovar Enteritidis str. 3402. RNAcentral's name for it is "bacterial SSU rRNA". It matches the Rfam family "Bacterial small subunit ribosomal RNA", at positions 821 to 1205 of the family's 1533-position model. The record is from RNAcentral. Lineage: Bacteria; Pseudomonadati; Pseudomonadota; Gammaproteobacteria; Enterobacterales; Enterobacteriaceae.